RNAcentral lists this long non-coding RNA (1079 nucleotides) under Theobroma cacao (cacao). Its description in RNAcentral is "long non-coding RNA (TCAC_LNC001916)". The record is from RNAcentral. Lineage: Eukaryota; Viridiplantae; Streptophyta; Magnoliopsida; Malvales; Malvaceae.
UGUAAGUAAUCUUUUGUAAUUUAGAAGUAAAAUAAAUUCAUACAUACAAUAAUUUACAAAGUUAUAAUGUACAAUAGUAAUUACAAUGACAAGUGGCCCAUAACUACACCAAGUACUGGUGAUAGUAACCUACUGUCUGUGAGGUAGAGAUGUCAACUGGAAUCCUCGACAAAAUAGGGUAUCUACAAGCUACCAUAGACCUGAAAUGUUUGGAAAGGAGGUGGGUGAGAUUUUGUAAUCCCAAUGAGUAAACAGACAUUAUCAUAAAUAUCUAAAGGCGAGUAACAUGGAGGCAAGUUUAAACACAAAUUACAAACCAUUUCAUAAGGUUUUCAAUUUAUUCCUUAAACCCUAAAAUAUUUGUAAUUUACCAAAAUAGUUAUUAAGGCUUAUGACUUUUAUUAAAACAAAGCUCAAGCCAAAACUAAUCCUUGGGGAUACCUUGGCCGAGGCAUCUAACCGAGUCCGCCAAGGUAGUUAUGAUAUUUACAUAUGAAACACAUUUUUAUUUUUAAAACAAGUCGUUCCUUGGCGUUGGCCGAGUUACACAUUCACGUGGGGGUUCGACGUGAAGUGAGCUCUAAUACUACCACGAGAGUUACCCUCCUCGCCUCUACAACCAGGGUAAUUAUGUAACCGGGUUUACUGUGUCCCUCUAAUAGGCAGUCCAUAGAAACCCGUCACUGCAGUGACUAAACCCACCCAUUUUAAUAAAAUUUCGACAGUAUAACGUGGCUUUUAUUUAUUUACCCAGCCUGCAUAGUAAAAACAGCUUACAUAAAUUCCCAAUGCAAUUUAUCAAAUAUAGCCACAUAUACUCAUAUUUCAUAAGCCAUUCAUAGGAAAAUAUAUGUUUCAAAAUAAUUGGCAGCCUCCAAUUACUCAAUUUCAUAAUCAACACAAUAUAUUUUUAUUUGUCACAUUUAUUUCUAAAACAUCAAAAAUCCCGUUUUAAUCUCGUUUUCAUUUCAUAAAAUACAUAAAGAGCAUUUAAAAAUAAACUCUAGAUAAUUUACAAUAAUAAUAGGUUUACUCACCGUUUGUACAAAUUAAAUGCUUUUUAGGUGCCCCGAUCACUG